UGGAGGCAGAACAUUUUUCUACAUCUAGGUUGAGGCUUGUUACCAGCAGGAACAUGGAGCGCACUCUGUCAGUGCUACAGAGACAGAAUUGUCCUGCGAGCCUUCUGACCAACUACCUUUCAUCUCUCCAGAGAACAGAGAAGUGAGUCUGCUGGGCAAUGGAACUCUAGAGCAGUACAUCCAAAAAACCUUCCUCCCAGCUAUCUGCAGAUAGUUCCCUGAUGGAUGCAACUAUCAAGGCUUUCAAAGGCCACAUUUUGGGGGUGACCAAAUGCAUAAAGUUUUGUAUGAACUAAUUUUCAUUUUGUUAGAUUACAAAAUACCUUUUUCAUGUCAUGUUGGUCUUCACACUAACUUCUGUGGUAACUUUUAAACAAAGACAACACAUAGGCUAAUUGGUGUUUUGACAUCAGAUGUUGUUCAGAGCUGAUAUGAGUGGUCAAAAGACCAAUUAGUGAAAAACAAAACAUAAUUGGGCAGCCUGUGUGAACGCAGCCUUAGUUUAUGCUUCAAAAGGCCUAGAGUAAAAGAGUCAUGUCUAGAUUAAUACAUUUUUAUUCAUGUAUAUGAGAUAUCUAUCCCUGACCAGAUUGAAGAAUGGGACAAGUAGACAAAGUGAAUGUCUGU
Molecule: long non-coding RNA, 627 nt
Organism: Oncorhynchus tshawytscha (Chinook salmon)
Lineage: Eukaryota; Metazoa; Chordata; Actinopteri; Salmoniformes; Salmonidae
Exons: 3
Source: RefSeq, a predicted model, not a curated record